Molecule: ribosomal RNA, 488 nt
Filed under: uncultured Sphingobacteriales bacterium
Lineage: Bacteria; Pseudomonadati; Bacteroidota; Sphingobacteriia; Sphingobacteriales
Description: bacterial SSU rRNA
Rfam family: Bacterial small subunit ribosomal RNA
Source: RNAcentral
GCUCAGAAACUCAAAUGAAUUGACGGGGCCCGCACAAGCGGAGGAGCAUGUGGUUAAUUCGAUGAUACGCGAGGAACCUACCUGGGCUCGAACGUAAGAUGACUGUAGGUGAAAGCUUACAUCUCUUCGGAGCAUUUUACGAGGUGCUGCAUGGUUGUCGUCAGCUCGUGCCGUGAGGUGUCGGGUUAAGUCCCAUAACGAGCGCAACCCCUACCUUUAGUUGCCAUCAGGUUAAGCUGGGGACUCUAAAGGAACUGCCUACGCAAGUAGUGAGGAAGGCGGGGAUGACGUCAAAUCAGCACGGCCCUUACGUCCAGGGCUACACACGUGCUACAAUGGCCGAUACAGAGGGCAGCUACCUGGUGACAGGAUGCAAAUCUCCAAAGUCGGUCUCAGUUCGGAUCGGAGUCUGCAACCCGACUCCGUGAAGUUGGAUUCGCUAGUAAUCGCGCAUCAGCCAUGGCGCGGUGAAUACGUUCCCGGGCCUU